UACGUAGGGAGCUAGCGUUGUUCGGAAUUACUGGGCGUAAAGCGCACGUAGGCGGCUUUGUAAGUCAGAGGUGAAAGCCUGGAGCUCAACUCCAGAACUGCCUUUGAGACUGCAUCGCUUGAAUCCAGGAGAGGUGAGUGGAAUUCCGAGUGUAGAGGUGAAAUUCGUAGAUAUUCGGAAGAACACCAGUGGCGAAGGCGGCUCACUGGACUGGUAUUGACGCUGAGGUGCGAAAGCGUGGGGAGCAAACAGG
This 253-nucleotide ribosomal RNA is filed under the name uncultured bacterium. RNAcentral describes it as "partial 16S ribosomal RNA". It matches the Rfam family "Bacterial small subunit ribosomal RNA", at positions 524 to 776 of the family's 1533-position model. The record is from RNAcentral.